Solanum lycopersicum (tomato) is the source of this 901-nucleotide long non-coding RNA. RefSeq lists it as uncharacterized. The record is from RefSeq and is a predicted model, not a curated record. NCBI's taxonomy places the organism in Eukaryota, Viridiplantae, Streptophyta, Magnoliopsida, Solanales, Solanaceae.
AGGUACUUGGACAUUAUCCCAUUAUUUUAUAUUGUUGAAGUUAAGAAGCUCAGAUAGUUAAGUAAAUAGUAAUUUAUUUAUCUUGGAAUUUAUUUAAGAAAGGGUCAAAGGACCAAGUCAUUCAACUUUCAAUUCAGUGAUCUAUUCGCUCAAAAUUUGGACCAUCAAAUAGCUCAACCCAAUAUUUUUCCAGUGACCCGGUCCAUUCUAAAGCUCAAAAUUUUCCAUACUCUUCUCCUCCUCAUUCUCAAUACAGAGAUGCAAGAACAGAACAAACCAAAGAAGAAAACCAUUCCCCAAUUCCCAGCCUCAAUUUACUCUUCUCUCCCUCGAAUUCGUACAAUCUACGUGCUUAGCAUGAGCGAAAAGACACGCAGAGCUUCCGGAGACAACCAUGGUGUGGUCCUUCUUAAUUUCCUUUUUGUCUUCGUUUUUCGCCUCAAAUUCGUACACUCUCCAGCUCAUACACUUUAUCCACUAUGAAAAUGGGAGAUUUCAGCCUCUCCCACAUCGUUUCUCAAACGAUUUUGAAUUUGCAACAGUUCCACAUCGAGAUUUCAUUUUAUUUUGGGAUUUUUGGGUUUCUAUAUAAACCCAUUCCAUUCACUGUUUAAAGGAGGAUUUUUGGAGAUCAAAGAGUACCCAUAGAGGUCUUGGGAAUUCUUGGUUCCAUAGUUUGUGGCUUUUGUGGCUAUUCGAGUUUAGAGAGGUGGUGGAAUCGUCUUCGUUAAACUGUCAUCCGGUUCGCUGCCGAAAAGAGGUUUUUAUCUUACGAAUUUGAGUACUUCACUUCUCAUUCACAUCAUCAUGUAAGUAAUAAGUAUGAUGUUCGUUUCACAAAAAUAUAAUAUAAUCUGUAAGAAAAUACCGAUAUGUAUGAAAAUUUUUUGUAGGGAAUAAA